UCAGACAAUCCUCAUGUCACCAUCAUCAUAGUGUUAACAGUUAUUGGGAUCUCUGCUGUUGUAAUCGCUCUGGUGUUUUUCUGCAGAAGAAGAAGAAGAAACGCUCAGAGAAAAGCUGCUGAAGUUUCAUCAGUGGCCUCAAACACAGAGAUAAUCCUGUAAGUGUGUCUGUUUGCUGCCUUGCUCACAGGUUUGUGUUCAGUUUUUGCUCAGACAGCAGAAUCAGAAAUGCAGAUCUAGCAGAUGACCUUUAGGUGAUAGAGGUCAGCUGCAGUUCUGUGGGCCUGCUUUCAACAAACCCUCCCAUCAGCUUCAUGACUGCAGUUCAGCUUCAUUUUUCCUCAACAGUCUUUGAGUUUCAGCUGCUCUGACUUUGAGGCUCCAGAGUCUCCAGAAGAUGAAAAAGGACUGAAAUGGAGCUGAGCUGCAAAAGUGCAGAAAAGACAGAAAGAAAGAUGGAUGGAUGUGUUGAAAGUGUCAAAGCAGAGCAGAAUCCCAGCUUGUGUUUGAUCCAGGAGAAAAUGUUGGACCAUCAGGAAUAUUUGGACUCAAGUCUUCCAUUGAAAAACUAAACAUUGAUUUUCUGAAAAUCUUUUCAUCCAAACUGGAAACACAAACCACUGAACAACUUCUGGUUCAGGUUUCAUCCAGCUUACAAGUUUCUUUCUAGUUUGGAAUCAAUGUGAAAAAGAGACAGUGAGCAGAAAAUGUGCCGAAGUUUCUGAAGAGAAUAGAGAAUGAUUCUAAAAGAUCAGAAUAGAAGAGAAUCUCACUUUUUAUCACACAUGGUUGUUGUUUGGAUCAAAGCUGGUUUUUAAUCAAACAAACUGAUUCUCUUUUGGAAAAAAGAGGAAAUAUUGAUUCAAAUAGCACAGAUGUAGCAUUCUGGCCUCACAGUGAGAAGGUCCUGGUUCAAAUCCCUGCUGUUUGUUUCUGGGUGGAUUUUGCAUGUUCUCCUCAUGCAUGUGUGGGUUUUCUGCAGACACUCUGGUUUUCAACCCACUGUCCAGAAGUGCGCGACCUUGGGAGCGUUUCGGGCAGAUAACUUAGGCAGGCGUUUAUUCGGUUACUCCCCUAGGGUGGUUCAGUUAAUCAACUCACCUGUUCAGCGUCCUCUUUAAGUCCAGGUGUGUAAGCUGUUCAUCCUUCUUUACUGCAGUACUGCAUUUGUUGCCGGUUGUCCAUGCUCGCUGUUCUCCUUCUCAUUUUCAGCGUCAUGGUGUCCUCCCCCCGUUCUUUCGGAUUGUUGAUCCCCCUUCUUAUGGUGUGUGGACGUCCGUCUCCCCGCGUCUGCCCCUCCUUUUUCUGCUAACUGCUGUCCCGGCGCAUCUCUCGGCGCGGCGGUCCUCGUGUCUCCGGUGCGUAUCUGCAGAGUAAGCUUCCUGCAGUAUUCGGAUUGUCAGUGGCGAUCGAGCGGGAGAUGUGUUGGCCUUCUUGAGUGCCGUGAUCGCCGGAAUCUCUUGGUGUCAGUUGCCAUCUUACAUGCUUCUGUGUUGUUUUACCGGGUUCUGUUUCCUGCUCGACUCAGUCAUCAGCGACGUCACGCCCCUAAGGACCCUGGGACUUGCAGUUCUUUUGUUAUAAGUACAUGGUGCGUUUCCUUCAAAACCAGGUCCGGUUUCUGCUGUGUGGGGCAUCAUUCGGUGCUGGCUUUGUUGUGGUGGCUCUUUGUUUUUUGUUUCUUUUCUGUUAAAGCUGUGUACAUUUAAUAGUUUGACAUGCAUUUUGGAUUGGUCAGUCUAUGGACCUGUCUCAUCUGUGGACAUUUUCCUUAUCAUUGGUCUCUGUAUGCAGCGUCUGUGGGUCCUUUCUCAUUCUAUUUCGCUUGGUCCGGAAACAGCGAUCCUCGUGUCAUCAUGACUGCGUCCGUCUCCCCGCGAGACAGACGGAGAGACUGCAUGCUCAGUUGUCUGGUUCUGCUCCACCGUUUCUCCCUUGGAGCUGGCUGGUUUGUGGACAGCCACCCAGCUCUGUGUUCCCCAGGGAGUCCAGCCCUAGCCUUCGGGGAACUCACACCAGCCCCAUUGUGAAUGUGUCAGUUUGUACGUGGCCCUGUCUUCUCAACCUCACAGAUGUUUUGUUAUUUUCUCUCUGGUUGAUUUAGGGAUUUAUGGCAGGUUUGUGUGUGGGGCUAUGUGAUCGUUUUUUGAGUCAGCUCUAAGUUGGUCACUCGGACGUUUUCAUGUUUGACACGAUUAUGUGAGAACUGUCGGCGCCUCGGUUCGUCCAUUGGGCAUAAGCAGCCUAAUUCUUCGUGAUCUUUCCGGUUUUGUUUUUGCACUUUGGCCGACCAUGCCAUCUCUAUGAUUAAUUCCACCGGCCGCAGUGCAUGGCUGGGGGAGGCGGAUUUUGUUGAUUUUCCCACUGUUCUGCCUCUCCAUUCCUCCCAGUGGCGUCUUCUGGCUUAGGUUGGGCUCGAAGUGUUAUGUAUCAGUUUACCUUUCAGCUGUCGUAUUGAUCAUGUUUUCGACCUCAUUCCACUGAAGCCCUGUGUUGGACCUGGUUUAAUCCUAUGGUCUCCCCUUUGUUUUGCAUCUUCUUGAUGUUUUCUCUGUGUUCUAUUUUCCUCCUUGUCACCGCUCUUUUGCAACUCCAUAGUUGUGACUUGUUUUCGAAUCUCGGUUUUCACUUAUUUAAGUGAGAUGUAUGGCCCUCCGCCCAUCUGGAUUUUGUCCGGAAGGAAGACAGGAGGUGAGUAAAGGUAAAUAAUUGGGUUAAUUGUUCCGGUGGUUGAGUUGUCUUGUUGUGGCAGGGGGGUCGGCAAGAACGAAGGACCGUCGGUGAUCCGAGGCGAGUCUUUGGGCUCGGUGAUGGCUCCAGAAGAGUCGGACGGCUCGGCGGCAACUCCAGACGAGACGCUGGAUCUUGACGAGGCUGGGGGUUUGACUCUGGCCCGUGGCGUCGCUGGAGGUUCGGCUGUGGCUUGAGCUGAGGCUUGAGCUGAGGCAGCCGAGCUGCCGUCCAUUGCUACGUGGGAUGGCAACCUUCCUCAUCUACGUAAUCUCCUUGGACCUUGGUUACCCUUCUAUUCGCUUGCUCCUCGAUGGCCUGCUUAAGGUGCGUCCCUCCGGAACUGACGAAAGGUUACUUCUCUCUUACCAUUGGUGUUUGUAAAAAAAAUUGUUUUGGUAAUAUUACGGCAGGUUCCAUAUUAAAUGUCAUUUCUUGUUGGAAUCUGUGCUCUGAUGGUUUUCUAUGGUGAGAUGAAUACACAAAUAGAACCUUCUCUUUAAACUCACUACUUGAUUUCACCUUCACAGAGUUGUUCUUAAAAGCACUUUUAUUCCCUUUAUCAUAAGCAAUCAGUUCUAAAUUAUUUAUAUAUUCAUUGCCAAGACUAAUACUGCUUUGUCUUUAUCUAUGCAUCACUUUCUGAGCCUGCGACCCCUACUCCCCGGUCAGCAAUUCAGUUUCUGGCGGAUGAUGUAAAACCCUCGACAAAGUCGGAUGGCUUCCAAGUUCCACAGUCUCUGCUCGUCCGGCAGCUUCCCUGCAGAUCCUUGUCCCUGCACUCCUUGAUCUGGAGCUGCAACGACGACUGCACACCACGUAGCUACUUUGCACUGAAAGUGAAGGGGUGGUAAACCUCAUCCGAGUUUCAAUGAGUUUCUUACUUGAAUGAACCAAUAUGUUAGCAUCGGAAUGGCAUACAAAAUCUUGGAUUAUAAAUGUUUGGAAACUAUAUUGCCAGGUGGAAGCCUUCAAAUUAGGAUGUUCUCAAGCUGUGUUACGAUAUGCAAAGGCGAUCGAAAUUGGAGGUUACUUAAGCUCGUAUCAUAGUGUGCCGGAUGGAAGCAUCAUAAUCAUAUCGUUUAGCUCGCUCAUAGUUCACAGAUGGAAGCUUCUAAAUUAUGGAUUUCACUUAAGCUUUAUCAUAUUAUGCCAGUGAAAGCUUCAAAUUUGAAUGUUAAAUUGUGCCGCCAAACACCAACCUGUAGGUUGGUGUUUGGCGCUGUACUCUAAAGGGAGUGGCCCAACGAUCCAUUGUGCCGGGUCACAUAUAGCAGAUCCACUAGAUAGUUAGUUCCCUUCUUGGCGUUGUUAUCGAACGGGAGCGGCCCAAUUGUCAAUGGUGCCGGGUCACACAUAGACAGUGUGUUCCCUUUGUGGCACUGUACUCGAACGGGAGCGGCCCUACGGUCAAAGGUGCCGGGUCACACAUAGCAGUCAUACUUGUAAGUCUGAAUAUGGGAUGCCUCUGUAACACACUUCAUUAUUAUUAUUACUGCAUGAGUUGUCUGACUGAAGUGACCAACCUUAGGAGCAAUUUUGGGCAGAUAACUCAGGCAGGCGUUUACUUCGGUUACUCCCCUAGGGUGGUUCAGUUAAUCAACAGGUGUGUAAGCUGUUCAUCCUUCUUUACUGAAGCACUGUGUUUGUCGCCCCAUCCUCCUCCCCGGCUUCCACCUGUGAGCUCUGUUAGGGGUAGUUAUUACCCAAAAGUUUAUGGAAAUUUGUCUCAUGCCAAACUAAAAGAAUCUGUAAU
Non-coding RNA from Oryzias latipes (Japanese medaka), 4486 nucleotides. The record is from RefSeq and is a predicted model, not a curated record. NCBI's taxonomy places the organism in Eukaryota, Metazoa, Chordata, Actinopteri, Beloniformes, Adrianichthyidae.